Molecule: long non-coding RNA, 7767 nt
Organism: Anolis carolinensis (green anole)
Lineage: Eukaryota; Metazoa; Chordata; Lepidosauria; Squamata; Anolidae
Exons: 3
Source: RefSeq, a predicted model, not a curated record
CCCAUGUUGACUAAAGACGAGCUGGCAACAAUUCAGAAUGGACUUGGUUCAAGUUGAUCUUCGUUGCUGACAACACAGCUGAUCUGUGAAGUACACAAGACAUGCACGUUAGAAAAGAAGGUCACUGAGAACAGGCUGAGGGUUGGUGAGUGGCCUGCCUUGCAGGGCUGGUGUACGGCCAUUUUGCAAAAGCUCAGCAGAGCAAGAGGGAGGAGCGAUCCGGCAGCCAUUACACCCACUUGUCGAUGGAUGUCCAGAAUCAGCAGCAUCCACCGCAGUCCUUUUCAUCCUGGGCAACGACUGAGCCAGGAUAGACUUCUUUUUGGUUUGUUUCUCCAUAAAGGUAGUGGAAAAUGAACACGCAAAAAUACUGUGAGUCUUUCAAAUCCAGACUGAGAAAGCUUUGGUACACAAUACACCAGAUCUCACGGUUGUGGAAAAGAAAAGAAAAAUUGGAUUAUUGAUGUCGUCAUACCAGGUGACAGUCAAUUGACAAAAAACAACAGGAAAAGCUCAGCCGUUAUCAGGACCUCAAAAUCGAACCACAAAAGCUCUGGCAUAAACCAGUAUAGGUGGUUCCAGUGGUAAUUGGCACACUUGAGUGCCAUGCCAAAAGAUCUCAGACAGCAUUUGAAAACAAUAAACAUUGACAAAAUCACGAUCUGUCAACUGCAGAAUGAUGAUCUGUGUGCAUCAUUCGAAAAUACAUCACACACUCUUAAACGCUUGGGAAGUGUUUGACUUAUGAUUUUGUGAUACAAAAUCCAGCAUAUACAUCUUGUUUGCUGUGUCAUACUGUAUUUUUGUGUCAGAAUAAUAAUAAUAAUAAUAAUAAUAAUAAUAAUAAUAAUAAUAAUAAUUUGCAUGUUUUCGAACUGCUAGGUUGGCAGGAGCUAGGGCUAACAGUGGGAGCUCACCUCAUCCUGCGGAUUCGAACUGCCAACCUUCAGGUCAGCAGUUCAGCAGCACAAGGGUUUAACCCAUUGCACCACCACAGCCCCUGGAAGGUUGACUGUUAAGGUAAUUUUCAACAUCGCUAGGAUAGGCAGGGUUUGGAUUCAGCUGGUCCUUCUUGGUCGAUUUUGAUUACAAUUCUACUUGGAAAUAAAUGAAACUAAUAAGGCAUCGUUCUGGGCCAAUGUAUAUAGAUAACUUUGUUAAAACCUAUAAACAACAGAUGAGGCCAUAGUCCAUUCUUGGAUCAAAUGUUUUACCCUUAAUUUCGCAUUUUCCUUAAUUUUGUUACUUUUACUGCUACAAAUUUGAUGGUUGCAUCUAAAACACGUCUUCCCCCAAAAAUAACAAAUUAAUUGUGUUUUCCUCUUUUUUUCCUUGGAAUGAACAGGGCUUCCUAUCAUGAGUUCCUAGAAAUGCCUUUUUCUCAGAACAAUCAGUAGCAGCAUAAACCUAUUGCUAUUUUCUGCCUGCUUUCUGUUGAUGGCAGUGGUAACAGCAUGUUUCACUGGAGGGAGUGGAACAGACGUGACUAGUAAAAAGAAAGUAUUUCAGAAUAUUAAAAAUUGUAAAUUAAGGCUCAAGUUAUCUAUUGAUUAAGGGUGAUCUCUUGAAUUUCGCUGAAUUUUCUUAGCAAGGAAUACUCAGAGGUUGCCAGAUUCUUCUUCAGAAAUAUAACUUGCGGCAUCUAGUAUUUAUUGAUCUCCCAUCCAUGAAAUUAUAUGAGAUUCGGUAUCUCCAGGAUGAAAUCCAACCAAUGCUCAAAAGUGGAUGGAGUGGCCACAAAUUUAUCUUGUUGCCUGGAACCCGUAUGUGGACAGAGAUUUUUGAGGUCUGUAACAUGGUCUUUAAAAUGACCUUGGAUAUAGCAACCUAUCACAGAAAGGACUUCUUUUUGUUGGGUGUCAUCUUGGAUUCCAUAAGUCUCCAGUCCCAAAUGAGCAGAUAGACUGGGAAAACAGGAUUAGAAUGAGGGAUUCCUUUCCCUAUUCCUAUGCAUGCCUUCCUAGAACGGGCUUUCUGUCUCUACUCCUCUCUUCCUGUUUGCUACUAUCUCCUCCCCCAUUUAUUGAUGUAGAAAUGUGAUCUCUUUGAGAUAUGAGGUAACCUCCUCUCUAUUGCCAAUAGUUGGCCUCCAUUUUCCUUCUCUUUUGCCUUUUGUCUCCUCCUGUGAGGACGCAUCUUGCCAUUCUCCAGGCAAGAUGUAGCUGCAUGCAUAUUUUUCCGAUAUCUUUACCUUUUGCCUUCCUUAGAAUAGGAGACUUAGAAAGUUACUUAGCUCCAAGAACUUUACUAUCUAGAAUGUAUUUCUUUUACUUCAAUAAAUAUUUUUGAACUUCUAUUUUUGGCUCUGCAAUCCUGUGCCAUCCUAAGCAACAGAGGCUUAUCCCAGUUCACCACACGUAAAUUUCUGCUGGUUAUGAAGUGUGCUUCUGGUGCUCUGCUCUAUUUUUAAUGAAAUCACCACAAGAAAGGGUUAUUUAUUUAGUCUAACCACUCAUAGAUUCCCAACACUUUUAAAUUGAGGAAUGUCUUCUAUCACUGUAUAGUUGAAGGCAUUCAUGGUCAGGAUCACUGGGUUGCUAGCCACAGAUUCAGGCAAAGCAUUAGGAGAAAAUGCUACAGGAACAUGGCCAUACAAGCCGCUCCGAGCCCUAGGGGAGUGGUGGCAUAUAAGUUUGAAAAAUAAAUAAAUAAAUAAAAAUACAGCCUGAAAAACUCACAGCAGGUCAUCUUCUAUCUUCAAACAAAUGUGUUGCUUUAAAAAUGAUAUAUAGCCACCCUGGAAGUGAGCUUUACUCCACAGUACACUUGGAUCGCAAGCUUACAUUUUGUUUUGCUGUUCUGUUACUACAGUCUCCAAAAUAUUAUCAUUUGAAGAACUUGAUAUACCACAAACGAGGCUCAUGUGGCCCAGUUGUUUUCCUCCAACUCCCAUCUUCCCUGGACAGCACAGCCAAUGGUGAAGGCUAAUCCACAGAAUGUGGGAGGCCACAAUUUGCUUGGCCUUGUUCUAUUUCAUUGUAUUGAGAGUGAACAAAAGAAAAGCUGGGUGUUUUCAAACAGGGUAGUUCAAACCAUUUGAGCUUGAACAGAUGGUACUGAAAACAAAUGCAAAACUGAGCACUAGCGGCAUCAUCAAUGUUAUAUUUGUAUUCCCAUAUUCAUAACUGGUACAGUCUUGUUGGAACUCAAAAGGACCUUCAUGCCCCAUAUAUAAAAAUGUGUAACUGUCCCCUCUUAAGGCUGUAUCUUCUGUAUAUGUACUUAUACUCAGCCAACCUCAUGAAUAAGUUGAAGGCAGAUUUGAGAGCUGUAAUGAUGGAUUUUAAUAUGACCUGUGGAGAAGCCGAGGGUUGUUCUGCAAAGGGGGAAAGCACCAGUGCCCUGGCUGCCGCUGCUGUUUUUCCAUCCAGGCAUUCAAAAAGACCAGAAGCACAACAUAGCAGGGAGAAUAGAUUGGAUCAGUUCUCCUGAGAUGGACUAAUCUCUGACAUUUUACUCUAUUCCAGUGGUUCUCAACUUUCCUAAUGCCAUGACCCCUUAAUACAGUUCCUCAUGUUGUGGUGACCCCUAACCAUAAAAUUAUUUUUGUUGCUACUUCAUAACUGUAAUUUUGCUACAGUUAUGAAUCGUAAUGUAAAUAUCUGAUAUGUAGGACGUAUUUUCAUUCAUUGGACCAAAUUUGGAAGAAAUACAUGAUACGCCCAAAUUUGAAUACUGGUGGGGUUGGGAGGGGAUUGAUUUUGUCAUUUGGGAGUUGUAAUUGCUGGGAUUUAUAGUUCACCUACAAUCAAAGAGCAUUCUGAAGGCCACCAGUGGUGGAGUUGAACCAGUCUUGGCACACAGAACUCCCAUGACCAACAGAAAAUACUAGAAGGGUUUGGUGGUCAUUGAGCUUGAGUUUUAGAAUUUGAGUUCACCUACAUCCAGAGUGCAUUGUGGACUCAAAAAAUGAUGGAUCUGGGUUGCUGUGAGUCUUCCAGGCUGUAUGGCCAUGUUCCAGAAGCAUUCUCUCCUAAGGUUUCUCCCACAUCUAUGGUAGGCAUUCUCAGAGAUUGUGAGGUCUGUUGGAAAAUAGGCAAGUGAGGUUUAUACAUAUAUUUCCAGGAUGGGAAAUUGUCUGCUUGAAGCAAGUGUGGAUGUUUCAAUUUGUCACCUUGAUUAGCAUUGAAUGGCCUUGCAACUUCAAAGCCUUUGUUGGGAGGUAUUAACUGGUUAUGAUUGUUUCCUGUCCCAACAAAGGAUUCCCCCAGGUAGGAAGCAGACAGGCUUUGAAGCUGCAAGGCCAUUCAAUGCUAAUCAAGCUAGCCAACUGUAACAUUCUCACUUGCCUCCAAGAGACUAGUGUUCUUUCUCCCACUCUGGACAUUCCACAGAUCUAUAAAUCUCACUGGCCUAGAAAAGGACAGGCGGAGAUAUCUUCAGCAUUCUCUGCCAAAGGGGUUCCUAAGACCCAUCAGAAAUAUGGUUUUCUGAUGGUCUUUGGUGACCCCUCUGACAUCCCCCUCAUGAUCUCCCAAGGGGUCCCAACCCCCAGGUUGAGAAACGCUAUUCAGUUCAGAGAAGAGGAUGGUUCCUAUAUAUGUGUGUGAGAGUUAAGGUACAGUGCUCCCAUUGACCCAUGGAUAAGUCAACCCAGUUUUGAGGGAUUGAUUUUUUUGAUAAAAUGUGUAGAGCUCUGUAAUAAUAAUACCAUGUUUCCCCGAAAAUAAGAUAUUCCCUGAAAAUAAGACCUAGUGGAGGUUUGGGAGAAUUGCCAAAUAUAAGACAUGCCCCAAAAGUAAGACCUAGGAAGAGGAAGCUGCCAUCGCCGAGGAAGGUGCAUGCAGCGUGAAGGAGGAGGAAAAGGUGAGCGCUUUUCUCUCCUCCUUCCCUUCCCCAGUAGCGAUGGCUCCCUCUUGUUCCUCUGCCAAGGAAGGCGAAGGACAGGAAGGAAAGACACACGCCUUUCCCUCCUUCUCCUUUGCGCCGCAUGCGCCUUCCUCGGUGGAGGAGAAGGGAGCAAAAUAAGACAUCCCCUGAAAAUAAGACCUAGUGUGUCUUUGGGGGGGGGGAUAUAAGACAUUGUCUUAUUUUCGGGAAAACACGGUAAUAAUAAUAACAACAAGAACAACAACAACAAAACUUUAUUUAUAUUCCGCCCUCUCUCCCCGAAGGGACUCAGGGCGAAUUCACAACAAAAGAUGGCAAACAUUCAAUGCCAGAUCCAACUCAUAAAUAAGAAACAUGUGUAUAUAGGGUCAUUCCUUUCUGACCUCAUUAUUAAUAAUUCCACCCCACAACUAGGUAUACUGUGGUAGCAUUGGUAUCGCUGAACAACAUGCCCCCGAUAAAGUAAGCUAUAUUCAAUGAGGAAAAAUAUUUGUUUUUAAGAUUUCACAGCUCUUUGUUCUCAGUAGGGAAUAAGUACUGUGGAUCUACUUCUAGAAGACUGGAAACAGAAGAUAUUUGACAUUUUCAGAAAGCGGAGGGCAGAAAAACCAAGGCUUUGUGUGUAUCGAGUGCAAAGGCACCUCACAAUUGCCUCUGCUCACAGUUCUUUGUGAUUCUUCAAAACCUGCAAAGCCUGCUGGAGGAGAGACGAUAAUGAGGCCAAAAAGAAUAAAGAGUACCCCAUGGGAAAGGCUGCCUGUACGAUAGCACCUUGAACUCUCAGAAAUUACUGUCUGUCUCCAGCCUGGGUAAAUAUACCUAGGAUUAGAUUGCACAGCGCUUUACUUUGAGAAAAAGUAUACUUAGGAGCAUAGCCUUGGAGCUUGAUCUUAUGCUAAAGUAAGCAUGCUGAAAUCCAUUGAUUUCAGUAGGCUUAAGCACACUUUACCAUUGUGUAGGAUUAGGCUGCUCCUGGGUCAAUGGGCCUUUGAACUUCUGAAGGUGACUUUUUGGUUCUACAUGGUAACAAUUACUGCUGUGCAUCAAAGACAGUAUGCCUCUCAAUGCUACUUGGAGGAAAAUAGAAACAAAAGAGUAUGUACUUUACCACACAAACCAGUUACACUACAGUCACAUUAUAACUGAUAAAAGAUAUAUACUUUGUUUGAGCAUCCUCGAUAUUGCACCUCUCUUCACGCAACUGCACUGAUUUGCCAAUUCAUGGUUUCGCAAUUGUACUCCCACGAACACUUAUAGGUCCACCUUCCUUAAUUUUUUUUAACACAAUAGUGCAGCACUUAAAAAACAAAAAAAAUCUAAGAAAAAUAGAAAAUAAAAGAAAAAUAGUUAGCUUGGGAAUACCAAGGAAGGCAGGGAAAAGGAGUGAGGAGGAAAAUCCCACCUCCUGACUUCACUUUACUGCCACUAUGGCAGCACAGAAGUGAAAGGGAUCCACUGCCCCAACAUAAGGAGUCACUGUGGCGCAAUGGGUUAAACCCUUGUGCUUGCUGAACUGCUGACCUGAAGGUUGCUGGUUUGAAUCCAUGAGACAGGGUGAGCUCCUGUCUGUCAGAUCUAGCUUGCAGGGACAUGAGAGAAGCCUCCCAGCUAACAUAUCCGGGCAUCCCCUGGACAAUAUCUCUGUAGAAAGCCAAUUCUCUCACACCAGAAGUGACUUGCAGUAUGUUUUCAAGUCGCUUCUGACUCAAUAAAAAACUGCACCAAGGUGAAUAACAGGAAUGAUAUUGGAUUGUGAUAUAUUGUCAGGUUUUAUGCAUGCUCUGAUUUCUCUUCAGAUCAUAUAAAUCUUUCACCUUUUACUAAAGAAGCCCAUGGAGAGGAACAUUUAUGAGUUGGGCCACAGCAUAGCACCGCGGGUUAACCGCCAGCUACAGAAGAUCUUGCCGACUGGAAGGAUAGCUGUUCAAGCCGUGAGCGAGGUGAGCACCUGCCGUCAACCUAGCUUCUGCCUACCUAGCAGUUCGAAAACAGCAAUGUGAGUGGAUAAAUAGGUACUGCUUAUACCGGGGAGGAAAAGAGCACCUCUAAAAAACAUGCCGGCAGUCCAAUCAGGAAGGCGUCUAUGAACAACGAAGCUCCUCGGUGUGGAAUAAUGGAGCAACAGCACCUCCCCAUGGCCAAGUCGACUACAACCUCUAGAUGCUGGAGAUGGAAAAAAGAGGGAAGCCUGCCUCUGUUUAUGUACUACUCUAUUGUCGAUUAUAUAAUGGCAUUGAAUGUUUGUCAUAUAUGUACCUGUAAUCCGCUCUGAAUCUCCUUGGGGAGAUAGAGCAGAAUAUAAAUAAAGUAUAUUUAAGUAUAUAUUAACAGCUAGUGAUAGGAGAAUCACAGGGACAUCAGCAGCAGGAUACACAGAGCAUCAUUUUAUAGCUAUAAUGCUGAUUUGGCUGCUUUAUGCAAUAAAGUCCUUUGUUUUAUUAGUGAGCAUGCCAAAAAUAUUUAGUUGGCUCCUGUGAAAACAGAAGUCUGGUCUAAGUCUUUGAAUCUGGUUGUCCAUGAUGCAUGUUUCAUCUGUGAUUUCCAGUUGUCCAAAAAGAGCCAGGAUGUGGGGAACAAACCAGCAUGACUACCUCUUGGGCCUUUGCCAUGGGUUUGAUCUGGAGAAAUCAGCCAGAAAUAGGAAGAUUUACUCUCCCUGCCAUCACUUGCCAAACACAUCUGGCUGUUUUUACAGGCAGAGCCGUUGUGGCUGGUGGAAACAUUGGUAAAAGCAACACUAGCCCCAUUAAGCUUGAAAGCAAAGAUGAAGAUCAAAGUAAUGUUUACACAUCCAGGAAAAAUACAUUACUUUAAAAAAACAUUAUCUGUAAUUGCUGUUACAUAUUGGAAUACAAAAAAACCUUCUGAGCAAAAAUAAUCUUGUGAAUAGAAGAUCCUUGGCAGCUCCACAAUGUAAAAUAAACCAGUCGGAAGCAC